AACAGGAUUAGAUACCCUGGUAGUCCACGCUGUAAACGAUGUCGACUUGGAGGUUGUGCCCUUGAGGCGUGGCUUCCGGAGCUAACGCGUUAAGUCGACCGCCUGGGGAGUACGGCCGCAAGGUUAAAACUCAAAUGAAUUGACGGGGGCCCGCACAAGCGGUGGAGCAUGUGGUUUAAUUCGAUGCAACGCGAAGAACCUUACCUACUCUUGACAUCCAGAGAAUUUGCUAGAGAUAGCUUAGUGCCUUCGGGAACUCUGAGACAGGUGCUGCAUGGCGGUCGUCAGCUCGUGUUGUGAAAUGUUGGGUUAAGUCCCGCAACGAGCGCAACCCUUAUCCUUUGUUGCCAGCACGUAAUGGUGGGAACUCAAAGGAGACUGCCGGUGAUAAACCGGAGGAAGGUGGGGAUGACGUCAAGUCAUCAUGGCCCUUACGAGUAGGGCUACACACGUGCUACAAUGGCAUAUACAAAGAGAAGCGAACUCGCGAGAGCAAGCGGACCUCAUAAAGUAUGUCGUAGUCCGGAUUGGAGUCUGCAACUCGACUCCAUGAAGUCGGAAUCGCUAGUAAUCGUAGAUCAGAAUGCUGCGGUGAAUACGUUCCCGGGCCUUGUACACACCGCCCGUCACACCAUGGGAGUGGGUUGCAAAAGAAGUAGGUAGCUUAACCUUCGGGAGGGCGCUUACCACUUUGUGAUUCAUGACUGGGGUGAAGUCGUAACAAGGUAACC
Molecule: ribosomal RNA, 731 nt
Filed under: uncultured bacterium
Lineage: Bacteria
Description: bacterial SSU rRNA
Rfam family: Bacterial small subunit ribosomal RNA
Source: RNAcentral